Molecule: long non-coding RNA, 827 nt
Organism: Cebus imitator (Panamanian white-faced capuchin)
Lineage: Eukaryota; Metazoa; Chordata; Mammalia; Primates; Cebidae
Exons: 3
Source: RefSeq, a predicted model, not a curated record
CAUUAUUUUACAAAUCAAUCUGCUUCAUCAGUGUCAGGAACAUGCUCAAAGUCAUCAAGUGUUGGCAAAAGAGAAGGCUUGGUAAGGUUAAUGUAGAAGCAGAGAAACUGAAAGCUCUGAGAUCUCUUAGGCAUGAAGAAGCAUGACACCUUUGUUUUGGAGAUGAUUCCAAAAUAUGCACAAAGAUCAUCAAAACCAGCUGGGACUAGAAGUAGCCACAGCUGCCCUCUGUCCCAGCAUUGCUUUCACGGACCUUGUUGAAGACCUCAUCCCUCACCUGCCAAUUUCAGCAGCUUCCUCAUGAGUGCUCCUUAUUUGAGCACUUCCUCCCUACAACUGCCAGAGUUACCCAUCUAAAAUGUAGGUGGGAGCAAGUGAGUCUCCUUCUUAAAACACUAUUGUCUUCCUCUGGGCCACUAGAUCUCAUUGUUUAAGGCUGAGCAAAACCUCUUGUAAUCUUCCAAGAAAGUUCCCUGGCCCCUUCAUAAUUGUUAGCCUGUCUCUUUCUCAUAUUACCCAGGGUGUAUAGCUGUCAUAGCCGAUGGGGAUCCUGAGUGAAAAUACUGAAGUAAAAGGGAAGGGAUGAUUAUACUAAGGAUUCAGAUGAAUGGCAAGCCCCCAAAAUUCUUCAAUGUAGGAGAAAUAGGAAAAAAUAAUUACAGAAGAACGAGCUGAGUUUGAAAAGGCUGAACUUUAAGCCUAAGAUUAAAAGAGAGCUAAAAACUUCUGGGAAACUGAAAAUGGCAUAGUGGAAUGGAAAUUAACAUUCGAAGCAACGUAGAAGAGAAUGGACAUGUGAAAAGAAAACAACAAUUGUUGAGGAAAAA